Molecule: long non-coding RNA, 240 nt
Filed under: Elaeis guineensis (African oil palm)
Lineage: Eukaryota; Viridiplantae; Streptophyta; Magnoliopsida; Arecales; Arecaceae
Description: long non-coding RNA (EGUI_LNC021369)
Source: RNAcentral
AGUGGUUUCCCAUAUAAAUAUGCAUUCUUCGAUUGCUUCCGCUGAAGAUGUCCUAAGCCACCAAAGAUGGACUGCACUGACAAUGACCCUAAUAUAUAAGCAACAAGAUCAAGGAUGCCAACAGCAUCAAUGGAUGCAUGCUGUUGACUCCUGUUCCAAUGCCAAGCCACUUACUGGACCUCGGACAGCUAUGGAUCAACCAAAAAAAAAAUUCUACCUAGCUAUGACCUAACAACCUGC